Molecule: ribosomal RNA, 407 nt
Filed under: uncultured bacterium
Lineage: Bacteria
Description: partial 16S ribosomal RNA
Rfam family: Bacterial small subunit ribosomal RNA
Source: RNAcentral
UGGGGAAUAUUGCACAAUGGGCGCAAGCCUGAUGCAGCGACGCCGCGUGAGGGAUGACGGCCUUCGGGUUGUAAACCUCUUUCAGUAGGGAAGAAGCGAAAGUGACGGUACCUGCAGAAGAAGCACCGGCUAACUACGUGCCAGCAGCCGCGGGAAUACGGAGGGUGCGAGCGUUAUCCGGAAUUAUUGGGCGUAAAGAGCUCGUAGGCGGUUUGUCGCGUCUGUCGUGAAAGUCCGGGGCUUAACCCCGGAUCUGCGGUGGGUACGGGCAGACUAGAGUGCAGUAGGGGAGACUGGAAUUCCUGGUGUAGCGGUGGAAUGCGCAGAUAUCAGGAGGAACACCGAUGGCGAAGGCAGGUCUCUGGGCUGUAACUGACGCUGAGGAGCGAAAGCAUGGGGAGCGAACA